RNAcentral lists this ribosomal RNA (467 nucleotides) under uncultured bacterium. RNAcentral's name for it is "partial 16S ribosomal RNA". It matches the Rfam family "Bacterial small subunit ribosomal RNA", at positions 28 to 507 of the family's 1533-position model. The record is from RNAcentral.
GAUGAACGCUGGCGGCGUGCUUAACACAUGCAAGUCGAACGGAAAGGCCCAAGCUUGCUUGGGUACUCGAGUGGCGAACGGGUGAGUAACACGUGGGUGAUCUGCCCUGCACUUCGGGGUAAGCCUGGGAAACUGGGUCUAAUACCGGAUAGGACCACUUCUUGGAUGUUGUGGUGGAAAGUUUUUUCGGUGUGGGAUGAGCUCGCGGCCUAUCAGCUUGUUGGUGGGGUAAUGGCCUACCAAGGCGUCGACGGGUAGCCGGCCUGAGAGGGUGUACGGCCACAUUGGGACUGAGAUACGGCCCAGACUCCUACGGGAGGCAGCAGUGGGGAAUAUUGCACAAUGGGCGCAAGCCUGAUGCAGCGACGCCGCGUGGGGGAUGACGGCCUUCGGGUUGUAAACUCCUUUCGCUAGGGACGAAGCGUUUUGUGACGGUACCUGGAGAAGAAGCACCGGCUAACUACGUG